Molecule: ribosomal RNA, 1678 nt
Filed under: Blenniella gibbifrons (hump-headed blenny)
Lineage: Eukaryota; Metazoa; Chordata; Actinopteri; Blenniiformes; Blenniidae
Description: 16S ribosomal RNA
Rfam family: Bacterial large subunit ribosomal RNA
Source: RNAcentral
CCCCCAACAGCUAGCCCGACCUUAUUACAAUAACUUAUCCACAUCAAUAGCACAGAAUAAUAAAUAGAAAUUAAACAAAACAUUUAACCACACAAGUAUGGGCGAUAGAAAAAGAAAACUGGAGCAAUAGAAAAAGUACCGCAAGGGAACGCUGAAAAAGAAGUGAAAUAAAUCAGUAAAGAAAAGUAAAGCAGAGACACAUCCUUGUACCUUUUGCAUCAUGAUUUAGCAAGUCCUGCUCGAGCAAAAAGAAUUGUAGUUUGAGAACCCGAAACCAAGUGAGCUACUCCAAGACAGCCUAUUCUAUAGGGCUAACCCGUCUCUGUGGCAAAAGAUGUGGGAAGAGCUUUGAGUAGAGGUGAUAGACCUACCGAACUUGGUGAUAGCUGGUUGCCUGUGAAAUGAAUAGAAGUUCAGCCAUUAAAAUUCUCUAAUCAAACUUGAGAAGCCGAGAUAUGAGAAGCUUAGUGAGUUAUUCAUAGGGGGUACAGCCCCUUUGAAGAAGGAUACAACCUUAGAUAGGAGGUUAAAGAUUAAAAUAAAGAAGUACAGUACACUAGUGGGCUUAAAAGCAGCCAUCUAAAAGAAAAGCGUUAAAGCUUGAGUACAAGGCAAACCAUAAAUCAAAAUAAAUUUAUCUUAAUCCCCUUAUCCUACCAGGCCGACCUAUGCCAACAUAGAAGCGCUGAUGCUAGAAUGAGUAAUAAGAGAAGAGAAUCUCUCCUAAUACAAGUGUAACUCAGAACGAACUACUCACUGAGGACUAACGGACCCAUCAAGAGGGUACUGACCCACAAAUAAAUAACUGGAAAAAACACCUGCCCCCCCCCCGUUGACCUUACACAAGAGUAUUUUUAAAGGAAAGACUAAAAGGAGUGUGAAGGAACUCGGCAAACCUUAAGCCUCGCCUGUUUACCAAAAACAUCGCCUCCCGACCCGUCAAACAUGGGAGGUCCCGCCUGCCCUGUGAUUUUAAUUUAACGGCCGCGGUAUUUUGACCGUGCAAAGGUAGCGCAAUCACUUGUCUCUUAAAUGGAGACCUGUAUGAAUGGCAUAACGAGGGCUUAACUGUCUCCCCCUCCCAGUCAAUGAAAUUGAUCCCCCCGUGCAGAAGCGGGGAUGCUAACAUAAGACGAGAAGACCCUGUGGAGCUUUAGGCAGAGAAUAGUACCUGUAAAGAUUAGCCUACCAGCAUUAAACAGAAGGUACCCCUGUUCACAUGCCUUUGGUUGGGGCGACCGCGGGGAACACAAAACCCCCACGUGGAAGGAGAACUUCCUCUUUAAACUAAGAGCUGCAGCUCUAAAGAACAGAACUUCUGACCAGAAUGACCCGGCGAUUCUUCCGCCGAUCAACGAAACUAGUUACCCCAGGGAUAACAGCGCAAUCCCUUCCCAGAGCCCAUAUCGACGAAGGGGUUUACGACCUCGAUGUUGGAUCAGGACAUCCUAAUGGUGCAGUCGCUAUUAAGGGUUCGUUUGUUCAACGAUUAAAGUCCUACGUGAUCUGAGUUCAGACCGGAGUAAUCCAGGUCAGUUUCUAUCUAUGAAAUGAUUUUUUCCAGUACGAAAGGACCGAAAAAAUGGGGCCUAUGCUCAAGGUACGCCCCACCACCUACCUAAUGAAGACAACUCAAUUAGGCAAAGGGGCAUAAUCUCCCUGCCACAGACUAUGGCAU